CCCGGAAGGGGAAGGCUGAGAAGCUUCGACUAAGGUUCGAUUCGAGCGUAGCGAGAAAGCGUUGCCGCAGGCAACGACCCGAAGGGCGAGGCGCAGCCGAGUCAUCCUUCCCCCACCACCA
RNAcentral lists this small RNA (121 nucleotides) under uncultured Enterobacter sp. RNAcentral's name for it is "RtT RNA". It matches the Rfam family "RtT RNA". Rfam says of the family: This family represents a bacterial cis-regulatory element known as RtT RNA. The exact function of RtT is unknown although it is thought that it may be involved in changing the cellular response in relation to amino acid starvation. Lineage: Bacteria; Pseudomonadati; Pseudomonadota; Gammaproteobacteria; Enterobacterales; Enterobacteriaceae. The record is from RNAcentral.